CAGCAGCCGCGGGAAUACGAAGGGUGCAAGCGUUAAUCGGAAUUACUGGGCGUAAAGCGCACGCAGGCGGUUUGUUAAGUCAGAUGUGAAAUCCCCGGGCUCAACCUGGGAACUGCAUUUGUGACUGGCAAGCUAGAGUGUGGCAGAGGGGGGUGGAAUUCCACGUGUAGCAGUGAAAUGCGUAGAGAUGUGGAGGAACACCGAUGGCGAAGGCAGCCCCCUGGGCCAAUACUGACGCUCAUGCACGAAAGCGUGGGGAGCAAACAGGAUUAGAUACCCCGGUAGUCCCUGUCUCUUAUAU
This 301-nucleotide ribosomal RNA is filed under the name uncultured bacterium. RNAcentral's name for it is "partial 16S ribosomal RNA". It matches the Rfam family "Bacterial small subunit ribosomal RNA", at positions 509 to 809 of the family's 1533-position model. The record is from RNAcentral.